CCCGCACAAGCGGUGGAGCAUGUGGUUAAUUCGAUGCAACGCGAAGAACCUUACCUGGUCUUGACAUCCACGGAAGUUUUCAGAGAUGAGAAUGUGCCUUGGGAACCGUGAGACAGGUGCUGCAUGGCUGUCGUCAGCUCGUGUUGUGAAAUGUUGGGUUAAGUCCCGCAACGAGCGCAACCCUUAUCCUUUGUUGCCAGCGGUCCGGCCGGGAACUCAAAGGAGACUGCCAGUGAUAAACUGGAGGAAGGUGGGAUGACGUCAAGUCAUCAUGGCCCUUACGACCAGGGCUACACACGUGCUACAAUGGCGCAUACAAAGAGAAGCGACCUCGCGAGAGCAAGCGGACCUCAUAAAGUGCGUCGUAGUCCGGAUUGGGGUCUGCAACUCGACUCCAUGAAGUCGGAAUCGCUAGUAAUCGUGGAUCAGAAUGCCACGGUGAAUACGUUCCCGGGCCUU
RNAcentral lists this ribosomal RNA (459 nucleotides) under uncultured Enterobacteriaceae bacterium. RNAcentral's name for it is "bacterial SSU rRNA". It matches the Rfam family "Bacterial small subunit ribosomal RNA", at positions 920 to 1382 of the family's 1533-position model. Lineage: Bacteria; Pseudomonadati; Pseudomonadota; Gammaproteobacteria; Enterobacterales; Enterobacteriaceae. The record is from RNAcentral.